GCUCAGGUGCUCCCAGACUCAGAAGCCUCCACCUAGAGCACGUCUUAGGGGAUGUCUACCCUCCUCUAAGAUGUGCGAGAGGCCCGGAUGCAGGGUGGGGAAGGGGUACAUGUGGGGUUACCCCCAAGAGGGCCCAUCAUCCACCAUCCAGAGCAACAUGGGGCGUUCCAAGGUCCCCCCAGGCCCUUCACCAGCUUGCAGCUUGCUCAUAUGCUUGUGGUAGUUGCUCUUUUGGGAGAGGCCUGGUCUCUCUGGUCACAUGCAAGGUGACCUGUGGCAGGGUCACACAGAAGAGGCAAGUGAAAGCCCAAAGCCAGGACUUCUGGAGUGCCAAAGGGCAGUGCCAGUGUGGGCACUGGGGGAGGGGGCCACGCGGUGCCGAGAGCCCGCAGCUGCAGGGAGGCUCCCAGGCCUGGCUGCGCUGCAAACUCCUGCUGGCUCAGCUCUGCUCGGGGCUGACUCACCUUCCCUCUCCCACCUGUUCCCCUUUCACAGCCCUCCCACCUGCCUCCCUCCUCGUGCCGCUCCUCUGAUCCCUCACUCCACUCCGGCUCCUGCGGCGCUGACGGAGCGGGGUGGGGGGAGUUGCUGCGUCUGGGGGUGUAAGAACCUUAGAUGUCACGGAGCUUGGAAUUGUGCCAACGGGCAGGCUGAAGGGGCCUUAAAGUGCUGCCAAGCCCUCCUCAUGCCACACCAGCUUCCCUGCAGAGCCAGGAGCCCAUGGCUGCGAUCAGAUGACUGCUUCCUGCGUCUAGCUUUUCUCAUUGCAGUUUUUUCCAGAUGGGGACCCCGAUGUCUGCCCUGUGGGCUGGAGCAGGCGGCGACUCUGUCCUGGCUGUGAGAUCUCCUCCACCGCCCCUGACUCCUACCCUGUCAGGCCCACCCCCAGUCUCUUAUCACCGCUGGAGGGGAAUCUGAGCAAUCCCCUACGGGGUGACAACCUGCAACUACAUGGCAUCGUGCACGUGGAUCCACUGCAGCAUGGAGCGGGGUCUGCAUCAGGAAAGACACUCCUCCUCUUCCCCCGGCCGCAGGCUGGAGUGCAGUGGCGUGAUCUCGGCUCGCUACAACCUCCAC
Long non-coding RNA from Homo sapiens (human), 1077 nucleotides. RefSeq lists it as uncharacterized. NCBI's taxonomy places the organism in Eukaryota, Metazoa, Chordata, Mammalia, Primates, Hominidae. The record is from RefSeq and is a predicted model, not a curated record. The transcript has 5 exons.